UGUCUUGAACAACUGCUUAUGAUGAAAAAAUGUCAUCAGCAGUUGUUCCAUUGACAAG
Molecule: microRNA precursor, 58 nt
Filed under: Schmidtea mediterranea
Lineage: Eukaryota; Metazoa; Platyhelminthes; Tricladida; Dugesiidae
Description: Sme-Mir-1992-P5_pre stem-loop
Source: RNAcentral